GUUACAAUCAAAACUCCGGUUACAGAAUGAUGAGAGGACACUUGAAAGCUCUUGGUCAUCGAGUCCAAUGGAGCAGAGUCUGGGACUCUAUGAAUAGAGUGGAUUCAGCUGGAGUUCUUGCUAGAAUGUCACUUGGACAUGUUGUGAGAAGAUCCUAUUCAGUUCAGGCACCUCCCUCGUGCAUUUGGACACCAACCACAAGCUGAUCAGAUAUGGCUUAGAAAUAUUUGGGGGCAUAGAUGGCUACUCAAGAAAGGUCAUGUAUCUGAGGGCUGCAACCAACAACCGGGCAGAGACUGCUCUAGGUUUCUUCCUCGAGGCAGUAGGAAAGCACAAGUUCCCUCACGGUAUGUAUGUACAUUUUGGUACAUCCAUCUACUGUUGAUAUUAGCCACACCCUGCUUCAUUAGGGAAUGCAACUUUCCUAGGCUACUUGUACCUCUUCUGCUUAUAAAGAAUAAUAACAACACAGCUGAGACUUAAGAGGAAAAAAACAUUUG
Molecule: long non-coding RNA, 500 nt
Organism: Megalobrama amblycephala (Wuchang bream)
Lineage: Eukaryota; Metazoa; Chordata; Actinopteri; Cypriniformes; Xenocyprididae
Exons: 3
Source: RefSeq, a predicted model, not a curated record